Lytechinus variegatus (green sea urchin) is the source of this 302-nucleotide long non-coding RNA. RefSeq lists it as uncharacterized. The transcript is spliced from 3 exons. The record is from RefSeq and is a predicted model, not a curated record. NCBI's taxonomy places the organism in Eukaryota, Metazoa, Echinodermata, Echinoidea, Temnopleuroida, Toxopneustidae.
UAAAAAUGUAAAGUUUGUUUGAUGUUUUCGCCGCGACGAUUCGAAAUGAAACGAAGAAAUUAGCAGAAGUGAAGGUCACCGGAGAGGUGAAUGAGGAUUUUACCACUGGAACUAGAGAGCUUGGCUCUGACUGGUCUACUACAGCAAGGAAUGUGCCAGGGGCCAAUCUGAUGAACAUGUGGCAGAAGAUUUGGCAAUGGGUGAAGAAACACUGAGAUUGAAAUGCAACCACAGGUGUAGGCUUCACCCAAACUUUUCAGACGGAUGCGAGAUACAAAGUUACCCAAGUAUAAAAGUAUAAA